This 74-nucleotide transfer RNA is filed under the name Candidatus Woesebacteria bacterium RBG_13_46_13. RNAcentral describes it as "tRNA-Gln". It matches the Rfam family "tRNA". From Rfam's summary of the family: Transfer RNA (tRNA) molecules are approximately 80 nucleotides in length. Their secondary structure includes four short double-helical elements and three loops (D, anti-codon, and T loops). The record is from RNAcentral. RNAcentral also lists the same sequence under 3 other names. Lineage: Bacteria; Candidatus Woeseibacteriota.
UGCGGGAUCGUCUAACGGUAGGACACAGCCCUCUGGAGGCUGGUAUUGGGGUUCGAAUCCCUAUCCCGCAGCCA